UUUUCUGUCGUGCCAAAUACUGAACACCGCUCACAUCAUUUUGCAAAGCACGAAGGAGAUAUAAAAAAAAAUGGUUCUCCAUCAGCAAUACUCACCUGACAAACCAGAGACCUGCUUUUCAAUGCAGCCUUUGAGUAACCAUCCCUUAAAGAAACUGAAGUAAAUGAAAAUCAGGACACAACGCCUGCACUGAAGUCAUAGCUGCGUGAGCUGCUUUUUGCUGUGCUGAAUAUGCAAUGAAAUUAAUGAAACUUUUACAGAAAAACUCUUCAGCUUUCAGAGCCUGUGUGCCUUUUAUAGCUCGCAGCACACCAGCAGCAUGCCCUGUACUUCCCUAAGCAUUCUGCUACGCAAGGAGGAUGGAAAGGCUCAGAUAAUUGUGCAAAUUGUGCAGGGGUUUGUUACCACAGCCCUUCAGUUUCACGCACUUUGUCUAUUCCAUCUACCUCCUUCCACAAACUAACAAUCUCCAUCACCUCUUGCUUUUGCAAAUGCAGCUCGAAGCUUGCUGAAUUUCACAAUGACAGCAGAGCUGCAGCACGUCUUUUUGUUUGUUUGUCUGCACCCACCGAGUGCCAGCCACACCAACCUCUCUCAGGAGCCUGCAUGCACGGUGCUAGAAGCAAGCUGACUACUGGAGAUCGCUGGGGCAUCCCUGCUCGGCGCUGCAGCCAACCUUCCUGCAAUAUUAACCAGAAGUGAUUUAAUUUCCACACUCUGCAUGCAAAACUUGCCUGUCAUCUAACACCACACAGCUCUCAUCUGUGAGAUUAAUCUCGGUUCAAUUAAUCUCCUUUUAAUAAUGGUAUGGCUUUAAGGAACUACGAAUCAGGAGAAAUUUGGAGCCAGACCUCUGUGUGGUAGAAAACUGCCAGGCUAACAACACCCACAGUGCUGGGGAACAGCAAUCAGUGCUGGCCAUCUCCGGUUUCGGAACCCUAAAGAAAUUAACUCCUCAUUUCAUUUUUCAAUUAACCCACUACAACAAUGUGCUCUCAAAAAGUACACGUUCAUUCUGACAAAGGCCAGCACUCAAAACUGAAACACAUGGGAGAGUUCAUGAACCACAGAGCUUCUAACCUGGGUGGUAAAUAAAGGUAAUAAAAGAAAAAAAAACACCUCAAUGGCUUAGGGACUUCAGUCCUGCGCCAGAUUUUAUUUUGUUCUGAUGAAAGAGGGAGAGAGAAACAAACGCUGAAGGUUGCACAUUUAUCCAUGUCACGUCGUUUUCAAAUGCACAGUUAAAUGGAAUCUAACAGAGACAGAGAGGGACCCUCCUCUGGGAAGAUGGAUUAAAAUCAAGGAUUUGGGAGCUCACUAUUGCUGCAGCAAGAGCUCUUCUUUGGCAAGAAGAUAUUGAAGAAAAAUUUGUCUUGCGCACUGCCACUUCCACCUCUGGCUUCAUGCUCACUUUGGCCGUGUAUGUUCCUCUUUACUCGUUUAAUCUACCUGGGUGCAGCCCAGUCCUCAGCUUUUUUUCUCAGCCGUGUCACAACUCCUUUAUGCUUCGGGGUAACCUCCAGACACUCAACUCAAGCCAGCCACUGACCUAAUUCUGCUCAUCCUCAGCCAUUACUUGGGAUUCCUUGAAGCAAUACCUGCAGUCAUAGAUGAAAACUCAUUAAAACCUUAUGACAGCCUCUAGAAGCGAACACAGAUGCACUGACAGAUGAGAGGACACAAAGACUGGGUUAGUCCA
Molecule: long non-coding RNA, 1699 nt
Filed under: Anas zonorhyncha (Eastern spot-billed duck)
Lineage: Eukaryota; Metazoa; Chordata; Aves; Anseriformes; Anatidae
Description: lncRNA (ENSAZOG00000004596.1)
Source: RNAcentral